RNAcentral lists this ribosomal RNA (229 nucleotides) under uncultured bacterium. RNAcentral's name for it is "partial 16S ribosomal RNA". It matches the Rfam family "Bacterial small subunit ribosomal RNA", at positions 111 to 334 of the family's 1533-position model. The record is from RNAcentral.
UAACACGUGGGUAACCUGCCCUGAUGAUCGGGACAACCCGGGGAAACUCGGGCUAAUACCGAAUGUGCCCUCUGACCGCAAGGUCGCUGGGGAGAGGAAGCUUCGGCCUCCGCAUCGGGAUGGGCCCGCGGCCCAUUAGCUUGUUGGUGAGGUAACGGCUCACCAAGGCAACGAUGGGUAGCUGGUCUGAGAGGACGAUCAGCCACACUGGGACUGAGACACGGUCCAG